This is an RNA transcript of Mirounga angustirostris (Northern elephant seal), 3084 nucleotides long. It is a transcript of the gene named casein kinase 2 alpha 2, with no coding region annotated. NCBI's taxonomy places the organism in Eukaryota, Metazoa, Chordata, Mammalia, Carnivora, Phocidae. The transcript is spliced from 14 exons. The record is from RefSeq and is a predicted model, not a curated record.
CGCCGCCGCGCUCCUCCUCCUCCUCCGGCGCCCCGCGGCCCGCCGCCUCCUCCAUCCGCCGCCCCGCGCCCCUCGCCGCGCCGCCGCCCUCUGCGCCCCGCGGCGCCCCCCGGUCCCGCCCGCCAUGCCCGGCCCGGCCGCGGGCAGCAGGGCCCGGGUCUACGCCGAGGUGAACAGCCUGAGGAGCCGCGAGUACUGGGACUAUGAGGCUCACGUUCCGAGCUGGGGUAAUCAAGAUGAUUACCAGCUGGUUCGAAAACUUGGUCGGGGAAAGUAUAGUGAAGUAUUUGAGGCCAUUAACAUCACCAACAAUGAGAGAGUGGUUGUAAAAAUUCUCAAGCAGAUGGACAGGUUAGCAAGUAGCAGAGGUUUCCAGUCAGUACUGGAUCAGAGAUCCGUUUUCUCCUUUGCUGAUCCAUCAUCUCUUUCUUUAGGAGUGCCAGUGAAGAAAAAGAAGAUAAAACGAGAGGUUAAGAUUCUGGAGAACCUUCGUGGUGGAACAAAUAUCAUUAAGCUGAUCGACACUGUGAAGGACCCUGUGUCAAAGACCCCAGCUUUGGUAUUUGAAUAUAUCAAUAAUACAGAUUUUAAGCAACUUUACCAGAUCCUGACAGAUUUUGAUAUCCGGUUUUAUAUGUAUGAGCUACUUAAGGCUCUGGAUUACUGCCACAGCAAGGGAAUCAUGCACAGGGAUGUGAAACCUCACAAUGUCAUGAUAGAUCACCAGCAGAAGAAGCUGCGACUGAUAGACUGGGGUCUGGCAGAGUUCUACCAUCCUGCUCAGGAGUACAAUGUCCGUGUAGCCUCGAGGUACUUCAAGGGCCCAGAGCUCCUUGUGGACUAUCAGAUGUAUGAUUACAGCUUGGACAUGUGGAGUUUGGGCUGUAUGUUAGCAAGCAUGAUCUUUCGAAAGGAGCCCUUCUUUCAUGGACAGGACAAUUACGACCAGCUUGUUCGCAUUGCCAAGGUUCUGGGUACAGAUGAGCUGUAUGGGUAUCUGAAGAAGUAUCACAUAGACCUAGAUCCACACUUCAACGAUAUCCUGGGACAACAUUCACGGAAACGCUGGGAAAACUUUAUCCAUAGUGAGAACAGACACCUCGUCAGCCCCGAGGCUCUAGAUCUUCUGGACAAACUUCUGCGAUACGACCAUCAACAGAGACUGACUGCCAAAGAGGCCAUGGAGCACCCGUACUUCUACCCCGUGGUGAAGGAGCAGUCCCAGCCCUCUGCAGACAAUGCUGUGCUUUCCAGUGGCCUCACAGCAGCCCGGUGAACACUUGGAAGGCGACGGGUCUGUUGCGGUUCCUCCCACUUUUCCAUAAGCAGAACAAGAACCAAAUCAAACGUCUUAACGUGUGUAGAGAGAUCACGUUCCGUGAGCAGACACAAAAUGGUGGCAGGUUUGGCCAGCACGAACCAGACCAACCGAAGGGCAGCCCACCACCGUAUAUCAAACCUCACUUCUGAAUGUAAAAGGUUCACACGCCUUUGGCUUCCUGUUGACUUCCUCCUGACCCAGAAAGCAUGGGAAAUGUGAAGGGUGACUGUGGGAACCCAGGUGUGGACACUCACAGUUUCUGAAGCAGUUGUGGGGGGAAAGCAAAGAGGCCCCUCGGGGUCACCACGGCGUCAGUGUCCCUUGGAGCAGCCUCUGUCGUCUCCAAGCAGUUCCACGGGUGUGGGAGCCCGGGACGCCAGCGAGGAGGGCCCACAGGCCCACUGCCAGCAGACUUUGUAAGGCCAGCAGGACGCCGAGCGGAUGGACUUGGGACUUUUCCAGCAGCAUCGCGGGCCUGGUUUUCUCACGCGGCCCUUUUGACUCAAGUCUCUGCAAAUUUCUCGUGGCCUCCCAGGACUCUGGGAGACGGUGUCUCCAUACCUCGACAUCAUGAGCACACCCCCGGAGCUCCUGCAGACCUGGUGCUUUGUGUGUGCGUUUAUCUACACAGCACAUCACCUCCGUGUUUACCUGCCAGCGUUUGAGAGCCUUCCUGGAUGAGAAGGGUCUCUUCAGAGUAGAUGUUGUUGAUGGACUUGGGAAUUCUUAGAUGCCAUGCAGAACUUGAAUGCUAGCUCCCCAUUUACCUUCUCAACCAAGGUGCUCUUUAACUUCCCCGUGGGAAAGUCUGGUUUUCCAGAAACCUCUCAGGCGUAUCAGAUAAGUGUCUUUUUUGUCGGUGAUUACUACUGGGUGGGAGAGAGUUUGUGGAAUGAAGGGAAAGGAGACGUUUUUGCUUAGGCUUUUUUGACCUUGAGAGAAGGGGACAAGGGACCUGCUUACCCAAAAACAGUCUAUAAAGCUCAUCCACAACGUGCUUGGAAAUCCAGAACAUCGAUUGACAUCUUUUCAAUGCUCCUGCUUGAGUUUGGGCUGUUUAAUGUUUGUUUAACUUUCCUGACCACCAAAGUAAUAAUACGCUCAUGGCAAAAAAUUCAAAUGUUACCUAAAGGUCAAUCAUGAAACCUUCCCCCACCGCACCCGCACCCCCCCAUCCCAUCACAUACACACACAUACGAAAACUCUUUCCUCUGGAGGUAGCUGUGGUUACAUCUGGCGUAUACCUUGCGAUUUUUUUCCUUCAUGUUUACUAACAGUUAAAAAAUCAUGAUGAUUUUUAUUUUUACAGAUAUGUCACCAGGCUAUACAUUCUUUUUUUGCAACUUGUGCUUUUCCUGAGUUGUGACAAUUUCACUGUUAGCACGUAUAGAUCUACCUCACCCGUUCUCGCGGCUGGGUGGUGUCCCGGUGUGUGACCUACCAAAGGCAAAGCAGUCUGAUGAUAGACUCUCAGCAGAGCUAGUCCCAGUACUGCUGCAGUGAACACAUUUGCACAUACAUUUUUACGCAGUACAUUGUGUUUGUGAGAUAAAAUCCUAAAAAGGAAUUACUGUGCCAUAUGUUUUGUUUUGUCUUAGGCAUUGCCAUGAUUCAGAGAAAGCAGCCUUCUCUUUCCUUCCCUCCCUGGUGUAGGUUGGAACCGUGAUGCCUUUAGCCAUGGAAUUCUUGUGGGGCUCUGUUAGGCGCUUGGGACACGGUGCCCAGAGUCGUUGAGCUUUCCAUCAAAGCAGGAAUGUUUGAAA